This 460-nucleotide ribosomal RNA is filed under the name uncultured bacterium. Its description in RNAcentral is "partial 16S ribosomal RNA". It matches the Rfam family "Bacterial small subunit ribosomal RNA", at positions 338 to 795 of the family's 1533-position model. The record is from RNAcentral.
CCUACGGGUGGCAGCAGUGAGGAAUAUUGGUCAAUGGACGCAAGUCUGAACCAGCCAUGCCGCGUGCAGGAAGACGGCUCUAUGAGUUGUAAACUGCUUUUGUACGAGGGUAAACGCAGAUACGCGUAUCUGUCUGAAAGUAUCGUACGAAUAAGGAUCGGCUAACACCGUGCCAGCAGCCGCGGUAAUACGGAGGAUUUAAGCGUUAUCCGGAUUUAUUUGGUUUAAAGGGUGCGUAGGCGGUCGGCUAAGUUAGAGGUUAAAUCCCGAUGCUCAACUUCGGAAUUGCCUGUGAUACUGUUCGGCUAGAGAGUAGUUGAGGUAGGCAGAAUGUAUGGUGUAGCGGUGAAAUGCUUAGAGAUCGUACAGAACACCGAUUGCGAAGGCAGCUUACCAGGCUACUUCUGACGUUGAGGCACGAAAGCGUGGGGAGCGAACAGGAUGAGAUACCCUAGUAGUC